CAGGCGCGCAAAUUUCCCAAUGCUCAUCGAGCGAGGAAGUGACGAUCAAUAACAAUGUGCGACUUUUUAAAAGUUGUGCAAUUGGAAUGACUACAAUGUAAAGAGUUUAAGAAGGAUCAAUUGGAGGGCAAGUCUGGUGCCAGCAGCCGCGGUAAUUCCAGCUCCAAUAGGAUAUAUCAAUGCUGUUGCAGUUAAAAAGCUCGUAGUUGAAUUUCUGGAGGGUUUUGAUGUUUUUCAAAUGGAUUCGCAAGAGUUGAUUUGAAAAGCCACCCUUCAUAUUGUGGAUUUCCUAUUUUGUUUGUUAGUUUACUCUAAUGAAUAAAAUACCACUCGGUCACUGAGAGCAAAUUGGAGUGCUCAAAGCAGGCUUGAUAGCUUUGAACAUUUUAGCUUGGAAUGACAAGAUAUGACUUUUGUUUUAUUUUGUUGGUUAUGAAAUGAAAGUAAUGAUUAACAGGAACAGUUGCGGGGGUACUCGUAUUGAAAGGUCAGAGGUGAAAUUCUUGGAUUCUUUCAAGACGAACGACUGCGAAAGCAUUUACCAAGGAUGUUUUCAUUAAUCAAGAACGAAAGCUCGGGGAUCGAAGAUGAUUAGAUACCAUCGUAGUCCGACGCCAUAAACGAUGCCGACUCGGGAUUAGCUUUGUGUUCGUAUUUAAAAAAGAACCAAGCUAGC
RNAcentral lists this ribosomal RNA (676 nucleotides) under uncultured eukaryote. Its description in RNAcentral is "bacterial SSU rRNA". It matches the Rfam family "Eukaryotic small subunit ribosomal RNA", at positions 429 to 1084 of the family's 1831-position model. The record is from RNAcentral.